GGGCCUCAUGUACUAAGACUUGCGUGGAUUUCAUACUGAAACUUGGCGUACGCCAAAACCCAGAAACUGUCUUACGCACAAAUAAAUUCAGAUGUAUCAAAGUGUGCGAACGCAUGGAUCCAAGCACGUUUCUUUUGUACAUCUCGAUCAACGUGGAAUUGAGCGCACAUGCCGAGGUGCCAAACUCCUCCCUGUCCACGCCCUCAUUUAAAUAUGCAAUUUCAUUUAAAUAGGCCUCUGGACCUGAGAUUCACCUCUUAAUCCGAUCACCUGGCACCAUGAACAGAGGCAAAAAACGAAACUUCACGGAGUCUGAGCUCGAGAUUUUGCUCCACGAGGUAGAAAUGCGCAAGCAUAUGCUAUUGGAACCCUGUCAACAGGGAUAAAUGCAAAACAAAAGAGAAGUGAGUGGGAGUGUGUUUGCGAGGCCGUCAAUGCAGUGGGGUCUCAGCAGCGCACACACUCUGAAAUUAAAAAAAAGUGGUCAGACCUCAAGGUGGAGGUGAAGCGGAGGGUUUCUGCCCACCGCCGAAGCGUGACCGCAACAGGUGGGGGGACGGGAGUGGGGGAACUCUCCCCCUUCGAUUUGAGAGUGGCCGCUUUGAUCGGUGACACAGCUCUCACCGGAGUGGUGGGAGCCCAUGAAGGGGACACCGAUCAUCCCCAAGACAAGCAAGGAGAGGGCACGGAUUGCUCCGUCGGCCCCGGCGUCUCCAGCGCCCUUCGGAUUUUACCAUUUGCGAUGUCCUCUAACAACGCUAACGCAGCCAUUUUUAAAACAAUUUUCUUCAUCCAUUGCGCAUGCUUUUAUAGACACCCAUAUAAUUGCAAGGUGUGUUAAUUGUUCAUUAGUGUGUCUCUGAUGUGCAAAUCACUCUGAGUCAUUGUUUUCACCUUUUUUCCCAGUUUCCCAGCGUCACCUCUAAGUGUCGCCAAAGGAACAA
Gadus macrocephalus (Pacific cod) is the source of this 944-nucleotide long non-coding RNA. RefSeq lists it as uncharacterized. The record is from RefSeq and is a predicted model, not a curated record. The transcript has 2 exons. NCBI's taxonomy places the organism in Eukaryota, Metazoa, Chordata, Actinopteri, Gadiformes, Gadidae.